UCUUCUAUCUCUCACCUUCCUCUUACUAAUUUCUUCUAAAUUUUAUUACUAAUUUCUCGCAUUCUUCCUCAUGCAAAAUCAUAGUUCAAAAACCCCUCAUCGAAAUCUCCAACCGCCUCGUCAUUCUAACCAUUCACGCCGCAUGAUUUCAAUUUUCUUCCUCCUCUCCCCUAACUCCAUAACUACGUUUUUAGUGUUGUAUUUCUUCAGAUCUAUGAUUUUAGUUUUCCAUUUCUUUAGAUUUAUGAUUUUGGUUUCGUUUUUCUUCAGAUCUACUGCAUUUGUGUUACAUUCCCAAUCACUUCAUCUAUUUCCCUCUCUUGCACUACCAUCAUUAUUCAUAGCCACCCUGUAGAAACCCUAAUCCCAAAUCUGAUCCCUUGCCGCUCAAAUUUACCCCAACAUUUCAUCUCUUGCCGCCUCCAAUUACCCCAUGAACAGAACAUGAUUCUUCUCAUAUGGAGGCUUGGUAGGACAAUUGAUAGGGUUGUUGGAGCUUGGUAGUGGAGGGUCUUCAAACAGUUCGUGAGACCAUUCGUUACGUCAUCUCUGCACAUCUCAGCCUCGCAUCUUUGCAUUUAGGGAUAUGGGAAAAACGAAAUUCUAUGUCGUAUUUGCCGAUCGUAGACUUGGAAUUUACAAGACAUGGUAUGAUUGUAAUAGACAAGUUUAUGGCUUCACUGGGGCAGUGCACAAGUCAUAUUUGACACUAGAAGAAGCUGAGUAUGCCUACAUUGCAGCCACAGUUGGCC
Momordica charantia (bitter melon) is the source of this 752-nucleotide long non-coding RNA. RefSeq lists it as uncharacterized. NCBI's taxonomy places the organism in Eukaryota, Viridiplantae, Streptophyta, Magnoliopsida, Cucurbitales, Cucurbitaceae. The record is from RefSeq and is a predicted model, not a curated record.